CUUAUUCUCAUAACACACCAACCAGCACCAGUAGACAAAACUGCAAGGUAGAAAAGACACACCCACUCACCCAUCUCCAUCUACACACCCACUCCCCACCUCCGUCCUCCCGCGAUCCCAGCGGCGCCUCCCGCGAGCCACAUGGAUCUGGCGGCGCCUCCUCUUUUCUUCUCUGAUCAACCUCCUUAACCCAGUCGCCCAAUCCCAUUUUAUCGUACCCACCCACCCACCUUUUUAUCCCCCACCACCUACCUCCCGUGGGCUUCUUCUUGUGCCACUAUCCGGCCUGCGGCAUUCUCCACUCGUCGGCGAGCCAUCGCUCCACAAGCCACCAAACAGCCACGAGAUGUAGGCCUUGUCGACCCUGGUGCGCUGCCAUGCCGCCGGAUCCAGGCCUCCCACGGUGGAGGGAGGCCAGAUUGAGGCGAUGGGGAUUGGCUCCCCACGGCAGCCAUGGGUGCAGAUAGACCGACUCGGCGAUGGAUCCCCUGCCUUCUCAGUUAAUGUCCGCGACCGAUAACCUCCACGACAAGAGCCUCAACGGAUGGUAUGUGUGCUAAGUAGAUUUGAUUGGUUGGUCGACUGACUCAUGUGUUAUUCUUGUACCGCUUCGCCCUGUCCUCUCUCCGAUUGAUUGAUUAGUUGUGCUUAAUUUGCACUUGAUUUUGCAGUUGUUCUUGCUGCUAUGACUCCUGCUCCAGCAUCGUAGACUUCUUGUCAUGCGCUUGAUGCUGCUCCUCCUUCUGUCGUUCCCCGGCUUCUGGCGAAAGUGCACCGAGAUGCCUGAGUUAUUUCGGAGUACUAUAGUGUAUAGUCAUUGGGUGAUAAGUAUUUAUUAUUUUUUAUUGAGUUGAAUAUUUAUAGUAUGCAAGGAUAUUUAUGGAUCAACUGCUGUAGUGUGUUGACUUAUCUUCCGUUAAGGACGCCGUCAGCCAAAUCCGCCCAUCGUGCAUUCUACUCGUGAUUUUCAUGUGCAGUUCUCAUGCUCGAUAGAUGUUGCUCGGAUGCGCAUCGUGUGGAGCACGGUUGGCUGUGAGAUUCACUAGAACGUUCACAAUUGUGCUGUUAUGUGUUUGCUCACGUGUGUGGUUCGACAACAUCAACACUUGUUGGUUCUCCAGAGCUAUAGAGGUUGUGACUACUGUCUUUGCAGUUUGGCUAAGUGGCUAUAGAGCUUGUGAAUAUUGUUUUUGCAGUUCUCUAGAUGUGUGUGGCAGUGCACUGCAAAAGAAACUAACUUGAUUAUAAUUUAAUCUUUGUGUUGGAGGACAAUUGUUCUAACAAGAUGCAGGGUCUUGGUUGUAGUAAAUUGAAAAGGAAUGAUGCAGUUUGUUGGGCCAGCUCAUGCGAACAGUUUGCGAACACAUGGAUAUUUUUUUCAUGAAUGAUUCAUGUUGUUUUCCAUGAACAUGUAUAUGCUUUUAUUAAAGCAGUUCAUCCAAUAUUGUGUUGUGGUUCAUUUUUAUGGACCAUGCGGUUCUCUUUCUUUGCCCAUGUAAACAUUGUUGGAAAUAUGCCCUAUAGGCAAUAAUAAAUAGUUAUUUCUAUAUUUACUUGUUCAUGAUAAUCAUUUAUUAUCCAUGCUAUAAUUGUAUUGAUUGGAAAUUCAAAUACAUGUAUAGGUACAUAGACAACACACUGUCCCUAGUGAGCCUCUAAAGGACCAGCUUGUUGAUCAAAGAUGGUCAAGGUUUCCUCACCAUAGACAUGAGUUGUCAUUUGAUAAUGGAAUCACAUCAUUAGGAGAAUGAUGUGAUGGACAAGACCCAAACUACGAACGUAGCAUGUGAUCGUGUCAGUUUAUUGCUACUGUUUUCUGCAUGUCAAGUUUGUGUUUCUAUGACCAUGAGAUCAUGCAAC
This 1860-nucleotide long non-coding RNA is filed under the name Hordeum vulgare. RNAcentral's name for it is "long non-coding RNA (HVUL_LNC016443)". Lineage: Eukaryota; Viridiplantae; Streptophyta; Magnoliopsida; Poales; Poaceae. The record is from RNAcentral.